UUUCACCGGAGCUUGCUCCACCGAAAGAAAAGGAGUGGCGAACGGGUGAGUAACACGUGGGUAACCUGCCCAUCAGAAGGGGAUAACACUUGGAAACAGGUGCUAAUACCGUAUAACAAUCGAAACCGCAUGGUUUCGGUUUGAAAGGCGCUUUUGCGUCACUGAUGGAUGGACCCGCGGUGCAUUAGCUAGUUGGUGAGGUAACGGCUCACCAAGGCAACGAUGCAUAGCCGACCUGAGAGGGCGAUCGGCCACAUUGGGACUGAGACACGGCCCAAACUCCUACGGGAGGCAGCAGUAGGGAAUCUUCGGCAAUGGACGGAAGUCUGACCGAGCAACGCCGCGUGAGUGAAGAAGGUUUUCGGAUCGUAAAACUCUGUUGUUAGAGAAGAACAAGGAUGAGAGUAGAAUGUUCAUCCCUUGACGGUAUCUAACCAGAAGGCCACGGCUAACUACGUGCCAGCAGCCGCGGUAAUACGUAGGUGGCAAGCGUUGUCCGGAUUUAUUGGGCGUAAAGCGAGCGCAGGCGGUUUCUUAAGUCUGAUGUGAAAGCCCCCGGCUCAACCGGGGAGGGUCAUUGGAAACUGGGAAACUUGAGUGCAGAAGAGGAGAGUGGAAUUCCAUGUGUAGCGGUGAAAUGCGUAGAUAUAUGGAGGAACACCAGUGGCGAAGGCGGCUCUCUGGUCUGUAACUGACGCUGAGGCU
RNAcentral lists this ribosomal RNA (705 nucleotides) under uncultured Bacilli bacterium. RNAcentral's name for it is "bacterial SSU rRNA". It matches the Rfam family "Bacterial small subunit ribosomal RNA", at positions 68 to 753 of the family's 1533-position model. Lineage: Bacteria; Bacillati; Bacillota; Bacilli. The record is from RNAcentral.